AACAUAACAAACACAUUCAAAUGUCAGUGCAAAGAACAGUGGUGUCCAGGAACACAGAACAGUGGUGUCCAGGAACACAGUACAGUGGUGUCCAGGAACACAGAACAGUGGUGUCCAGGAACACAGAACAGUGGUGUCCAGGAACACAGAACAGUGGUGUCCAGGAACACAGAACAGUGGUGUCCAGGAACACAGCACAGUGGUGUCCAGGAACACAGCACAGUGGUGUCCAGGAACACAGCACAGUGGUGUCCAGGAACACAGCACAGUGGUGUCCAGGAACACAGAACAGUGGUGUCCAGGAACACAGCACAGUGGUGUCCAGGAACACAGAACAGUGGUGUCCAGGAACACAGCACAGUGGUGUCCAGGAACACAGCACAGUGGUGUCCAGGAACACAGCACAGUGGUGUCCAGGAACACAGAACAGUGGUGUCCAGGAACACAGCACAGUGGUGUCCAGGAACACAGUACAGUGGUGUCCAGGAACACAGCACAGUGGUGUCCAGGAACACAGUACAGUGGUGUCCAGGAACACAGAACAGUGGUGUCCAGGAACACAGUACAGUGGUGUCCAGGAACACAGUACAGUGGUGUCCAGGAACACAGAACUGUGGUGUCCAGGAACACAGCACAGUGGUGUCCAGGAACACAGUACAGUGGUGUCCAGGAACACAGCACAGUGGUGUCCAGGAACACAGUACAGUGGUGUCCAGGAACACAGUACAGUGGUGUCCAGGAACACAGUACAGUGGUGUCCAGGAACACAGUACAGUGGUGUCCAGGAACACAGCACAGUGGUGUCCAGGAACACAGCACAGUGGUGUCCAGGAACACAGAACAGAUGUGUCCAGGAACACAGAACAGUGGUGGCCAGGAACACAGAACAGAGGUGUCCAGGAACACAGAACAGUGGUGGCCAGGAACACAGAACAGAGGUGUCCAGGAACACAGCACAGUGGUGUCCAGGAACAUAGAACAGAGGUGUCCAGGAACACAGUACAGAGGUGUCCAGGAACACAGAACAGUGGUGUCCAGGAACACAGAACAGUGGUGUCCAGGAACACAGUACAGAGGUGUCCAGGAACACAGUACAGAGGUGUCCAGGAACACAGAACAGUGGUGUCCAGGAACAAAGUACAGUGGUGUCCAGGAACACAGAACAGUGGUGUCCAGGAACACAGUACAGUGGUGUCCAGGAACACAGCACAGUGGUGUCCAGGAACACAGCACAGUGGUGUCCAGGAACACAGAACAGUGGUGUCCAGGAACACAGAACAGUGGUGUCCAGGAACACAGUACAGUGGUGUCCAGGAACACAGUACAGAACAGUGGUGUCCAGGAACACAGUACAGUGGUGUCCAGGAACACGGCACAGUGGUGUCCAGGAACACAGUACAGUGGUGUCCAGGAACACAGAACAGUGGUGUACUGGAACACAGAACAGUGGUGUCCAGGAACACAGUACAGUGGUGUCCAGGAACUUUGAACAGUGGUGUCCAGGAACACAGUACAGAGGUGUCCAGGAACACAGAACAGUGGUGUCCAGGAACACAGAACAGUGGUGUCCAGGAACACAGUAGAGUGGUGUCCAUGAACACAGUACAGUGGUGUCCAGGAACACAGUACAGUGGUGUCCAGGAACACAGUACAGUGGUGUCCAGGAACACAGAACAGUGGUGUCCUGGAACACAGAACAAUGGUGUCCAGGAACACAGUACAGUGGUGUCCAGGAACAUUGAACAGUGGUGUCCAGGAACACAGUACAGAGGUGUCCAGGAACACAGAACAGUGGUGUCCAGGAACACAGAACAGUGGUGUCCAGGAACACAGUACAGUGGUGUCCAGGAACACAGAACAGUGGUGUCCAGGAACACAGAACAGUGGUGUCCAGGAACACAGAACAGUGGUGUCCAGGAACACAGAACAGUGGUGUCCAGGAACACAGCACAGUGGUGUCCAGGAACACAGCACAGUGGUGUCCAGGAACACAGCACAGUGGUGUCCAGGAACACAGCACAGUGGUGUCCAGGAACACAGAACAGUGGUGUCCAGGAACACAGCACAGUGGUGUCCAGGAACACAGAACAGUGGUGUCCAGGAACACAGCACAGUGGUGUCCAGGAACACAGCACAGUGGUGUCCAGGAACACAGCACAGUGGUGUCCAGGAACACAGAACAGUGGUGUCCAGGAACACAGCACAGUGGUGUCCAGGAACACAGUACAGUGGUGUCCAGGAACACAGCACAGUGGUGUCCAGGAACACAGUACAGUGGUGUCCAGGAACAUAGAACAGUGGUGUCCAGGAACACAGUACAGUGGUGUCCAGGAACACAGUACAGUGGUGUCCAGGAACACAGAACUGUGGUGUCCAGGAACACAGCACAGUGGUGUCCAGGAACACAGUACAGUGGUGUCCAGGAACACAGCACAGUGGUGUCCAGGAACACAGUACAGUGGUGUCCAGGAACACAGUACAGUGGUGUCCAGGAACACAGUACAGUGGUGUCCAGGAACACAGUACAGUGGUGUCCAGGAACACAGCACAGUGGUGUCCAGGAACACAGCACAGUGG
RNAcentral lists this long non-coding RNA (2577 nucleotides) under Oncorhynchus mykiss (rainbow trout). RNAcentral's name for it is "lncRNA (ENSOMYG00000056713.1)". The record is from RNAcentral. Lineage: Eukaryota; Metazoa; Chordata; Actinopteri; Salmoniformes; Salmonidae.